UUGCCUACGGGUGGCAGCAGUGGGGAAUCUUGCGCAAUGCGCGAAAGCGUGACGCAGCAACGCCGCGUGGGGGAAGACGGCCUUCGGGUUGUAAACCCCUUUCAGGAGGGACGAAGGUUCGCCGGUGAAUAGCCGUGCGGAUUGACGGUACCUCCACAAGAAGCUCCGGCUAACUACGUGCCAGCAGCCGCGGUAAUACGUAGGGAGCAAGCGUUGUCCGGAAUCAUUGGGCGUAAAGCGCGCGUAGGUGGCCACAUAAGUCCGUUGUGAAAGUCAAAGGCUCAACCUUUGAAAGCCGAUGGAUACUGUGUGGCUAGAGUACGGAAGAGGCGAGUGGAAUUCCUGGUGUAGCGGUGGAAUGCGCAGAUAUCAGGAGGAACACCAAUAGCGAAGGCAGCUCGCUGGGACGUUACUGACACUGAGGCGCGAAAGCGUGGGGAGCGAACAGGAUUAGAUACCCCUGUAGUC
Molecule: ribosomal RNA, 468 nt
Filed under: uncultured Solirubrobacterales bacterium
Lineage: Bacteria; Bacillati; Actinomycetota; Thermoleophilia; Solirubrobacterales
Description: bacterial SSU rRNA
Rfam family: Bacterial small subunit ribosomal RNA
Source: RNAcentral